Molecule: long non-coding RNA, 1313 nt
Organism: Scylla paramamosain (green mud crab)
Lineage: Eukaryota; Metazoa; Arthropoda; Malacostraca; Decapoda; Portunidae
Exons: 3
Source: RefSeq, a predicted model, not a curated record
CGUGAUUCACAGCAGCAGCCGGGUCUUGCAAUGGUGUCCCUUGUGUUGUGGUGCUCGCGUGUUUGUUGGACUCCGUGCUUUCCUCAGAACUCUCUUUUAAGGUGAAGAGGAAGCAUAACUGCCAAAGUCCCGCCCGAGUCUGUUUUCAAGAGCGUGUACUCGUACAAUCAGCCCCGAGGUUCACUACUUGAGGUCCUGGAUGGUCGAACCUGUUCAUUCUCAUCUGUGUUUAUACAGCAACAGCACCACCAUUACCAACAACAACAACGACAAAAACAACAAACUACUACUACAACUACUACUACUACUACUACUACUCAUCGUCGUCGUAGUCGUCGUAACCGUCGUCGUCAUCGUUGGCGCCACUGUCACCUUACAUUUCAAAGGUACUUCUACUGCUACUAUCACUACCACCAUCACCGCCACCACCAUCACCACCACUACUACCAAAAAGAGUAAGAAGAAAAAAGAAAAUUGCCCGUAGGAGUGAUCACAUAACAACAACAACAACAACAACAACAGCAACAACAACAGCAUUACCUUCGAAAUUACACGCCGAAGAUUCAUCAGCUCUUCACUUGAGGCGUUCCGAUGCGAUCCUUCCUCCCUCGCGGCGUGUCCUCGUGGGAGCUGAGGCGCGGGGAGUCAAGUGGAGGCUUGCAUAAUUCAUCACCCACCGCUAUUGCUGCCUGAUAUUUACGCAUUUAUAGAAUAUUGCAUCGAAUUGGGAGGAAGUAUGAAUUUUAUUGCAGCCAAAAAGAAAUGUAUUAUUCUUUUUUUGUUUUUUCCUCUUUUUAAGGCUUUGAAGCGUCAAUUCUUUUUUUUUUGUUCAUGAGUAUUUAAGAUUUUUCAGGAAUACGUGCAUUGUUUUUUUUAAUUUUUAGUUUUUUUGUUUGUUUUUUGUUUAUUUUUCUCCUUUCAUGUUUUUAAUUAUCAGCCUCCUCCUUUUUCUCCUCCUCCUCUAUUUACACCAUCUUUUUCUCCUCUUUUCUUUUCUUCCUCUUUUCUUUUUCUCCUCUUUUCUUUUCUUUUCUUCCUCUUUUCUUUUUCUUCUUCAUCUUCUCCAGCAUUCUUGUUGUUCCUGCUGAUUCAUCUUAAAUUAGUAUUCUUGCAAUCCAGAUAAGAGAGAGAGAGAGAGAGAGAGAGAGAGAGAGAGAGAGAGAGAGAGAGAGAGGCCACAUCCACACUAUUGGAGAAAACUUUAAUUCUUCCCCAAUAUCAGAGAGAGAGAGAGAGAGAGAGAGAGAGAGAGAGAGAGAGAGAGAGAGAGAGAGAGAGAGAGAGAGAGAGAGAGAGAGAGAGAGAGAGAGAGA